GACGAAGGUGGCAAGCGUUGUUCGGUAUUACUGGGCUUAAAGCGUGUGUAGGCGGAAAAUUAAGCGUUGCGUGAAAUCCCCCGGCUUAACCGGGGAACUGCGCAACGAACUGGUUUUCUUGAGGCAAGUAGGGGUACAUGGAACUCUUGGUGGAGCGGUGGAAUGCGUAGAUAUCAAGAGGAACGCCAGUGGAGAAAUCGGUGUACUGGGCUUGUACUGACGCUGAGACACGAAAGCGUGGGGAGCGAACGGGAUUAGAUACCCCUGUA
This 269-nucleotide ribosomal RNA is filed under the name uncultured prokaryote. Its description in RNAcentral is "partial 16S ribosomal RNA". It matches the Rfam family "Bacterial small subunit ribosomal RNA", at positions 524 to 792 of the family's 1533-position model. The record is from RNAcentral.